Molecule: small nuclear RNA, 102 nt
Filed under: Cathartes aura (turkey vulture)
Lineage: Eukaryota; Metazoa; Chordata; Aves; Accipitriformes; Cathartidae
Description: U2 spliceosomal RNA
Rfam family: U2 spliceosomal RNA
About the family: U2 is a small nuclear RNA (snRNA) component of the spliceosome (involved in pre-mRNA splicing). Complementary binding between U2 snRNA (in an area lying towards the 5' end but 3' to hairpin I) and the branchpoint sequence (BPS) of the intron results the bulging out of an unpaired adenosine, on the BPS, which initiates a nucleophilic attack at the intronic 5' splice site, thus starting the first of two transesterification reactions that mediate splicing.
Source: Rfam by way of RNAcentral
AUCGCUUCUUGGCCUUUUGGCUAAGAUCAAGUGUAGUAUCUGUUCUUAUCAGUUUAAUAUCUGAUACGUCCUCGAUGAGAGGACUUUAUAUUAAACGGAUUU